RNA transcript from Myotis davidii, 456 nucleotides. It is a transcript of the gene named guanine nucleotide-binding protein G(I)/G(S)/G(O) subunit gamma-11 pseudogene, with no coding region annotated. The record is from RefSeq and is a predicted model, not a curated record. Lineage: Eukaryota; Metazoa; Chordata; Mammalia; Chiroptera; Vespertilionidae. The transcript has a single exon.
GUAGAGAGCUGUCCCUGGGCCCAGCUCUGGGGCGAAGAUGCCGGCCCUGCACAUUGAAGAUUUGCCAGAAAAGGAAAAGCUGAAGAUGGAAGUGGAGCAACUUUGCAAAGAAGUAAAGUUUCAGAGACAACAGGUGUCUAAAUGUUCUGAAGAAAUAAAAAACUACAUUGAAGAACGUUCUGGAGAGGACCCUCUCGUGAAAGGCAUUCCAGGAGACAAGAAUCCCUUUAAAGAAAAAGGCAGCUGCAUUAUUUCAUAAGUAAGUCUGGGGAGAAACUUUAUCCUCAGUGGCAGAACUAGCUUAUUUUAGUUUUCCGAAAUAAAACCAACAUGCCUUUUAAAGAAGGAAAAACUAAAUUAAAAGCGGACUUUCUCAAGCACUUACAUAGAUAUGGUUUUGUAUAAAAGCUAUGUGGUUCUCAUCUUUGCUUACUUCCCACCCUCUUGAAGAGGGCA